AUUGAACGCUGGCGGCAGGCCUAACACAUGCAAGUCGAACGAGUGGCGGACGGGUGAGUAAGGUCUGGGAAACUGCCUGAUGGAUGGGGAUAACUACUGGAAACGGUAGCUAAUACCGCAUACCUUCAGAUAUUCCCAGAUGGGAUUAGCUAGGUGGUGGGGUAACGGCUCACCAAGGCGACGAUCCCUAGCUGGUCUGAGAGGAUGACCAGCCACACUGGAACUGAGACACGGUCCAGACUCCUACGGGAGGCAGCAGUGGGGAAUAUUGCACAAUGGGCGAAAGCCUGAUGCAGCCAUGCCGCGUGUAUGAAGAAGGUCUUCGGGUUGUAAAGUACUUUCAGCGGGGAGGCGUUACCCGCAGAAGAAGCACCGGCUAACUCCGUGCCAGCAGCCGCGGUAAUUC
Molecule: ribosomal RNA, 406 nt
Filed under: uncultured bacterium
Lineage: Bacteria
Description: partial 16S ribosomal RNA
Rfam family: Bacterial small subunit ribosomal RNA
Source: RNAcentral